RNAcentral lists this transfer RNA (75 nucleotides) under Chitinophagaceae bacterium. Its description in RNAcentral is "tRNA-Thr". It matches the Rfam family "tRNA". Rfam says of the family: Transfer RNA (tRNA) molecules are approximately 80 nucleotides in length. Their secondary structure includes four short double-helical elements and three loops (D, anti-codon, and T loops). Lineage: Bacteria; Pseudomonadati; Bacteroidota; Chitinophagia; Chitinophagales; Chitinophagaceae. The record is from RNAcentral.
GCUGUUGUAGCUCAGGGGUAGAGCAUCCCGAUAGUAAUCGGGAAGGUCGUUUGAGUUGAAUUCUGAUCAACAGCU